Molecule: ribosomal RNA, 328 nt
Filed under: uncultured eukaryote
Lineage: Eukaryota
Description: partial 18S ribosomal RNA
Rfam family: Eukaryotic small subunit ribosomal RNA
Source: RNAcentral
CCCUUAGAUGUUCUGGGCUGCACGCGCGCUACACUGAUGCAUCCAACAAGUUUUCUCCCUUGUUCGGUAGGACUGGGUAAUCUUUUGAGUAUGCAUCGUGAUGGGGAUAGAUUAUUGCAAAUAUUAAUCUUGAACGAGGAAUUCCUAGUAAGCGCAAGUCAACAGCUUGCGUUGAUUACGUCCCUGCCCUUUGUACACACCGCCCGUCGCUACUACUGAUUGGAUGUUUAAGCGAGGUUCUCGAACUGCUAGCGACUUAGCUUCGGUGAGGUCGCAGUGUGGGAAGUGAACCUAGCUUUGGUGUCUAGAGGAAGUAAAAGUCGUAACA